UAUUGCUUCGGCAAUACAUAUAAUAAAAUUGGAGCGAUACAGAGAAGAUGAGCAUGGCCCGUGCAUAAGGAUGACACACAAAAUCGUGAAGCGUUCACUUUUUUU
RNAcentral lists this small nuclear RNA (105 nucleotides) under Bombyx mandarina (wild silkworm). Lineage: Eukaryota; Metazoa; Arthropoda; Insecta; Lepidoptera; Bombycidae. The record is from RNAcentral.